ACUCCUACGGGAGGCAGCAGCAGGAAUCUUGCGCAAUGGGCGAAAGCCUGACGCAGCAACGCCGCGUGAGGGAUGAAGGCCUUCGGGUUGUAAACCUCUUUCAGAAGGGAAGAAAUUGACGGUACCUUCAGAAGAAGCCCGCCGCAACUACGUGCCAGCAGCCGCGGUAAUACGUAGGGCGAAGCGUUGUCCGGAAUUAUUGGGCGUAAAGAGCUCGUAGGCGGCUCAGCAAGUCGACUGUGAAAUCCCGAGGCUCAACCUCGGAACUGCAGUCGAUACUGCUGUGGCUUGAGUCUGGUAGAGGAGAAUGGAAUUCCCGGUGUAGCGGUGAAAU
RNAcentral lists this ribosomal RNA (334 nucleotides) under uncultured bacterium. RNAcentral describes it as "bacterial SSU rRNA". It matches the Rfam family "Bacterial small subunit ribosomal RNA", at positions 335 to 687 of the family's 1533-position model. The record is from RNAcentral.